This is a long non-coding RNA of Silurus meridionalis, 619 nucleotides long. RefSeq lists it as uncharacterized. Lineage: Eukaryota; Metazoa; Chordata; Actinopteri; Siluriformes; Siluridae. The record is from RefSeq and is a predicted model, not a curated record. The transcript has 2 exons.
UGUUUCCACCUGUAUCCAAUCGCCUCCAGGAUAUUCAAGUUCCCCUUUGAGCUCAGUUUCUUUGCCUGAUGUGUGACAUUAUUGUGUCCUGUUAACUCCAUAUCGUGUUCCAGGUUGGAGUCCCGACACCAAGCGUGAUGAUUGAGAAGAUGUAAGUGUCCAACAUUGACCAUCCAGACACACGUGCUGUGUGUGCGCUUUGGUCCAGUCAGUCCAGUUCAGAACAACGCUUGUGGUGGAGACCUCAACCUUCAGAAAGGAGCUCUGCAGAGGAACUACAGAGAAACGUUAAAUGUUCUAAACCGAUCAGUUGCGCACUUAAGAAAAUCUUUACCGCAAUGUGAAGAGCUGAUCUCACCCAGCAGGAGCUUUUGUUCCAGCUUCUGGUCCAAUUUGUACGAUUGUAAAGACAGAUUCCGUUCAGGAGGUGACUGUGGUACAUGAACGUCCAUGAUACACUCACACACACUCUGACACACCACACUGCUGCUGAGGACCUGAUACAGAGACCAUAUGAGACAAGAUGCACACCUGAGUUAUUGUAAAAGUUGAGAAAACUGUAAAACUGAGAACAUUGUCACAUUUCCUAUAACAGAAUCUUUAUUGCAGUUUUAUUUAA